GAAAGCAGAAACUGCAUGAGGUAAGACUAAGGGCCUUGUGCGCCCUGCAAGAGAUUACCGGGGGUCUCGGUACCAGGGGGGCGCGGGAACAAGAAACUCCAGUAAAUAAAAGAAAGACAAUAGGAGUCCUCUCAAUAGCCGAGGGCCCACUUCCCUAUAUGCGCUUACGGAAGGGGAAAGGCUUGAUUCUCAUAGAUUAGACAAUACACAUGUGCAAACAAGAAAAUCAAACUAUCUUCUUAUUGAUACUAUAUAUUUAUCCUUUCCCCUAUAGAUCCACCUUUCUU
This 287-nucleotide long non-coding RNA is filed under the name Nicotiana benthamiana. Its description in RNAcentral is "long non-coding RNA (NBEN_LNC038599)". The record is from RNAcentral. Lineage: Eukaryota; Viridiplantae; Streptophyta; Magnoliopsida; Solanales; Solanaceae.